Molecule: long non-coding RNA, 1813 nt
Filed under: Panax ginseng (ginseng)
Lineage: Eukaryota; Viridiplantae; Streptophyta; Magnoliopsida; Apiales; Araliaceae
Description: long non-coding RNA (PGIN_LNC018552)
Source: RNAcentral
CUUUUGUGAUUGGCCUAAAGAAUCGCAGUUUAAGGAUAAUCAAGGCAAUGUCAUUAAGAUUGAUCCUAAUGGUAAUGUGUUCUGUUUAAAGUUGAAUUUUUUUUAUAUUUGAGAUCAAUUUGCUUGCUUUUUAUGAGAUUUUGAGAAAUGGGAACUAUUAUUUUAUUGAAGAGUUGUUGCAAUUAAUGUGAUGAUUACUUAAGCUACACCUUUCUCAAUUAUUUCCUGAUUAAUUGUGAAUUUGUGGUUUAUUUUGUAUUAUGUUAGUCAAUUAUUUUAGGUUCAUGUUUUGUCUGGGGUUUAAGUUAUGUAGAGAGAAUAAUGAACACAACGAUAAAUGGAAAUCAAACUCUGACUUUGCUUUCAGCAAUUGUCAUUUUUGGUGUGCUAUAUUUUUAUGCAAAAUGAAAAACUUAUACAAGGGUGGUUGGGAAUAAUGACACUUUUUUGGGUCAUUUAACUUUUGAUUAUGUGGUAUAAUUAGAUGUUUAGUUUUGCUAUACAUAUUAUUCUCUUCAAAAUAAGGCAAGCCAUAUUCCCUCAAAAAUUUUAGAACAAUUUUUAGUGGUAUUAGUAAGAGUAUGAGUAUAUAGCUCAAUCUUGAAACAAAUACUUCCACAUUACAAAUUUGGUAAUACCUGGCAUCUCAAUCAACAAAUUCAUCAAAUUUAGUGAUACCUUGGCAUCACUAGAGUAAUUAUACGUUUUUAUUUUUCUUUAGAAUCCUUUACUUCAACAUUGGUUUUCUUUUUUUUUUUAUCCUUUCAUAAUUGUAAUCAUGAUUAUAUGCAUUUGUGAUCAAUUCAUUCAAGUUGGUGUUAAUUUUUAUUAUAUUACUUUUGUUGCAUGACUUUGCAUGUCGUUAAUGGGUUUUUAGAGUAAAUUGAUUUACACAUUAGAGUAUGUAUUUGCUCAUGUUGAAACGACAAGGUCAUUAGAUUUUUUUUGAAACGAUUCUCCUUCUAUUAGACAAUGUGGUAUAUUGUCUAGACAUUAAUCUGGGAGAUUGAAGAUGUUAUUAUGUUGUAAUGGUGGAUGUUGUCUUGGGUGUGCCAAAAUUGUUCUGGAAUUAUGUAAAGCUUCAUAUCUAAUGUUUUUAACACUUACGAAUAUGGGUUGUGAGACCCAUGAGGAUGAAGGUAUCUAAUUAGUCGCUGAUAACUAAUCUGAGAUCUAUAGUCAUUCACUACAUCAUGUAAUUGGAUGCUUUAAUCAUAUUGUCUUGACCUUUUAUCUGUGUUCUGUUCAGUUGGGAAAUUCUGUGUUUUCAAAUUACUAUUAUUUUCUGUGUGUAUGUGUGUGUGUGUGUGUAUAUAUAUAUAUAUAUAUAUAUAUAUAUAUAUAUAUAUAUAUAUAUAUAUAUAUAUAUAUUGAGGAUGGCUUGGUAUUGAAUUGGUUUGGGCAAUUUUUUUGUAAUGUUUUUGCUCAAUUGGUCAGUGAUUCUUUAUAUUACUGAGUUGAAUAUGAGUUAUUCUGUAUGUUGUGUGUUUCAGACUACUUGAUAAUGAAUUUUUGAACUUUCAACUUUAAUAAACCCCAUUUACUAAUAUCUAAAGCUUGGGAUUUGGCAUUUAUCAAUGUAGGCAGCACUUGACCCUGCACUUGAGAACCAAAUAGUAGGUAUUGUACUUACGUCAUCUGCAGUAGGAGUUCAGCCGUCACAUCCAAUAUUUUUGGUGAGGGUUCUUCGUCAUGUAUUAGCAUAUCUGCAGAAUUGUUUUAUCAAGGAGAGACUGACGUGCAAAAGCUAUUUGAGUCAGUGUUAUAAAAAUCAGUAGGCGUACCUAUGCAAUGGAUGGGGCAACUAGCGCUU